This 103-nucleotide microRNA precursor is filed under the name Marmota monax (woodchuck). Lineage: Eukaryota; Metazoa; Chordata; Mammalia; Rodentia; Sciuridae. The record is from RNAcentral.
AAUAUAAUUGCUGGAUCAUAUGGUAAGAGAAUAUCCAGUCUUACAAGAAACUGUUAAACUGUCUUGCAAAGUGGCUGUGCCAUUUUGCGUACCCAUCAGAAAU